UUACAGCCAUAUCACAUUUGAAACACAGGUUUCCUUACGAUCACUGAAGUUAAGCAACGUCGAACCUAGUCAGUACCUAGAUGAGUGAACGCUUGGGUGUACCAGGCGAUGUAA
Non-coding RNA from Acanthosepion pharaonis, 114 nucleotides. Lineage: Eukaryota; Metazoa; Mollusca; Cephalopoda; Sepiida; Sepiidae. The record is from the annotation of a GenBank genome assembly.